UGUAACUUCUUUUUAUGGGAAUGACCUGUCCACGUGUGGCUUUUCGUCUGUCCCAUGAAUAAGGAUCGGUUAUCCCCGUGCCGCCGUCGCCGUAAUGUCGAGGAUCCAAGCGUUAUCCGGAUUUAUUGGGUUUAAAGGGAGGGUAGGCGGAUUAGAAGUCAGGUGUGAAAGUUUGCGG
Molecule: ribosomal RNA, 178 nt
Filed under: uncultured bacterium
Lineage: Bacteria
Description: partial 16S ribosomal RNA
Rfam family: Bacterial small subunit ribosomal RNA
Source: RNAcentral